GGCACGCCUAAUACAUGCAAGUCGAACGCAGUAGCAAUACUGAGUGGCAGACGGGUGAGUAUAAUGUGGGAAUAUGCCUUUUGGUUUGGAAUAACUCGGGGAAACUUGAGCUAAUACCGAAUAAGCCCUUACGGGGAAAGAUUCAUCGCCGAAAGAUUAGCCCGCACUUGAUUAGCUUGUUGGUGAGGUAAAAGCUCACCAAGGCAACGAUCAAUAGCUGUUCUUAGAGGAAGACCAGCCACAUUGGGACUGAGACACGGCCCAGACUCCUACGGGAGGCAGCAGUAGGGAAUCUUGCACAAUGGGGGAAACCCUGAUGCAGCGAUGCCGCGUGAGUGAAGAAGGCCUUUGGGUUGUAAAACUCUUUCGUCGGGGAAGAAAAUGACUGUACCCGAAUAAGAAGGUCCGGCUAACUUCGUGCCAGCAGCCGCGGUAAUACGAAGGGAUCUAGCGUAGUUCGGAAUUACUGGGCUUAAAGAGCUCGUAGGUGGUUAAAAAAGUUGGUGGUGAAAUCCCAAGGCUCAACCUUGGAACUGCCAUCAAAACUUUUUAGCUUGAGUGUGAUAGAGGAAAGUGGAAUUUCUAGUGUAGAGGUGAAAUUCGUAGAUAUUAGAAAGAACACCAAAAGCGAAGGCAACUUUCUGGAUCACUACUGACACUGAGGAGCGAAAGCAUGGGUAGCGAAGAGGAUUAGAUACCCUCGUAGUCCAUGCUGUAAACGAUGUGUGCUAGACGUUGGAAAUUUAAUUUUCAGUGUCGCAGCAAAAGCGUUAAGCACACCGCCUGGGGAGUACGACC
Molecule: ribosomal RNA, 798 nt
Filed under: uncultured Pelagibacteraceae bacterium
Lineage: Bacteria; Pseudomonadati; Pseudomonadota; Alphaproteobacteria; Candidatus Pelagibacterales; Candidatus Pelagibacteraceae
Description: bacterial SSU rRNA
Rfam family: Bacterial small subunit ribosomal RNA
Source: RNAcentral